ACAGGGCUCCAGGUUUCAGCCCCACUCUGGGGAUGAGGCUCUGGGCUUCAGCCCCGCUGGGGUUCCUGGCUGUGGCUUUUCGCGAUGCACAGUUUGAGAACUGCUGGUCUGUAGUGGCUCAACAAUAGGACAGCAUCCACUGGAACAGUUAAGGAGAGUCCAGAUGUAAGGGGAGGAACUGGGAGGGCCAAGAAUACUCUGAAACGUGAGGAGAUUAAAAAUGGUAUGGUAGAUACCUACUAACUCCAGGGUUGGAUUAUUUGCAAUACUGAUUUCUAAGAGUGGCAAACUCCUCCUUCUGUUAGCUAAAGGAAAGCAGAAAACAAGUUGGGCUUUUGCAGGAAAUAAAUUGCCAAGCUGGUAAUUGUGACUGACAGCAUAAUAGUCUGGACCAGUGGGUUUCUCUCUCUCACACACACUUUUUUUUUUUUUUUGGCAUUGUCAAUGUAAAUAAAACAGUUGUUAGCAGAGUGAGAUUAAAAACACAGUUUCCCUAAACAGAUAGCAGCUGUUACACCUAACCCUGCGACUUGAACAUAGGUUUUUUCCUGUAUACAUGAGCCAAAUAGCCCCAUUUUCAGUACUAAGACCCAGCAUGGGUACUUCUACUCAGGCUUCACCAAGCUCCGGCCAGAAGAAUGUGUUUAUAUCAAGUUGUUAAAAUGCCAGGUGUUCUGUGUUUGAUCCCUCUGCCCCUGCUGGGUGAAUUAGUAAUAAGCAAAUCAGUUCAGAGCACUUCACCCCAACACUCCCAGUUUUCACUCAGCACAAGCCAAACAAAUUUUUUUUCUGUUAAGACUUCAAAUAGUUUAGUUGACUUCUUUAAGAAGUUCAAUAUUCAUAAGCCUCUGUACUUCCUAGUUGUAGCCAGGAGUGGGAGUGCCAAAAUAUUGCAAGACAACAUGAAAUUUUCAACAAAGGGACCCUAUUCUGUGAGGCAUUGAGCAUCUGUCUUCACUGGGCUCUGAAGACACUCAGUCCCUUCUUGGAGCUAGGCAUUCAGCAUCUUACAGGACCAAGUUGGAUGAGAUGAAGGAAUUUAAACAGCGCUCUCCCAGCUUGAGUUGACAAAGAUGUGGAGAAGGACUCGCUGAGCACUAUGAAACUCUCAUCUCUGAGUAUCUGGGGUUAACUUCUAAGUGACAACACCCUUUAAGGCACACAUUGGAAGGAUGUGUGCCAGAGGAAUGGCAACGUUCAACUAUUUGUGAAGGAAGAGAGACUGUUUUACUUCUAGAAAGCGACCCUAUUAACUCAACGCUCGAGAUUAUGUGAGAGGUUUCUCUCCAAGUUGUAACAAGCCUCUCUUAGGCUUCAGAAUUGGAGAGGAAAGAGUCUUAAAGUGCAUUAAAAUAAAAAAAUCUUAUUUGCCUAGCUCUGAACUAGCUCUUA
Long non-coding RNA from Chelonia mydas (Green sea turtle), 1392 nucleotides. RefSeq lists it as uncharacterized. The record is from RefSeq and is a predicted model, not a curated record. The transcript is spliced from 3 exons. NCBI's taxonomy places the organism in Eukaryota, Metazoa, Chordata, Testudines, Cheloniidae.